AGUCAUAUGCUUGUCUCAAAGAUUAAGCCAUGCAUGUCUAAGUUCAAGCGAAAAUAAAGUGAAACCGCGAAUGGCUCAUUAUAUUGGUUAUGAUUUACAUGAUCGUACUUACUACUUGGAUAACUGUGGUAAUUCUAGAGCUAAUACAUGCGUUGAGCUCCAACCUUACGGAAGGAGCGCUUUUAUUAGAUCAAAGCCAAUCGGGCUCUCGGGUCCGUUAUUUUGGUGACUCUGAAUAACUUUGCUGAUCGCAUGGCCUUGUGCCGGCGACGGAUCGUUCAAGUUCCCAACCUAUCACCUUUCGAUGGUAAUAUAUAGGAUUACCAUGGGGUUAACGGGUACGGGGGUUUAGGGAUCGACUCCGGAGAGGCGGCGCGAGAGUCGGCCGCCACAUCCAAGGAAGGCAGCAGGCGCGCAAAUUACCCAUUGGGAGAUUUCCCGAGGUAGUGACGAAAAAUAACGAUACAGAACUCUUACGAGGCUCUGUAAUCGGAAUGAGUACACUUUAAAUCCUUUAACGAGGAUCUAUUGGAGGGCAAGUCUGGUGCCAGCAGCCGCGGUAAUUCCAGCUCCAAUAGCAUAUACUAAAAUUGUUGCACUUAAAAAGCUCGUAGUUGGAUCUCGGUUUCCGUCGAGUGGUGCACCUUGCGAUGUUUACUAUUUGACCGGGCGAUUUUGUUGGUUCGUUUGUAGUUCUCUUAACCGAGUGCUACAAGUGGCCAGCACGUUUACUUUGAAAAAAUUGGAGUGCUCAAAGCAGGCGCUACUGCCUGAACAAUUGUGCAUGGAAUAAUGGAAUAGGAUCUCGGUUCUAUUUCGUUGGCUUUCGGAGUCGAGGUAAUGAUUAAUAGGGACAGACGGGGGCAUUUGUACUGCGACGUUAGAGGUGAAAUUCUUGGAUCGUCGCAAGACAAACUACUGCGAAAGCAUUUGCCAAGAAUGUUUUCAUUAAUCAAGAACGAAAGUUAGAGGUUCGAAGGCGAUCAGAUACCGCCCUAGUUCUAACCAUAAACUUUGCCAAAUGACGAUCACAAGUCGUUAACUGAAUGACUCUUGUGGCAGUCCCCGGGAAACCUUAUCUGGGUUGUGGGGGAAGUAUGGUUGCAAAGCUGAAACUUAAAGGAAUUGACGGAAGGGCACCACCAGGAGUGGAGCCUGCGGCUUAAUUUGACUCAACACGGGAAAACUCACUAGGUUAAGACAAAAAUAUGAUUGACUGACUAAAGCUCUUUCUUGAUAUUUUGGGUGGUGGUGCAUGGCCGUUCUUAGUUGGUGGAGUGAUUUGUCUGGGUUAAUCCGAUAACGAACGAGACUCUGGCCUACUAACUAGAUUUGAUAUCCCAUUGUGGGUAUUAAAUGCUUCUUAGAGGGACGGGCGGCGUUUAGCCGCACGAGAAUGAGCAAUAACAGGUCUGUGAUGCCCUUAGAUAUUCUAGGCAGCACGCGCGCUACACUGAAGGAAUCAGCGUGUGUUCCCUAUCUGAAAAGAUUGGGAAACCCCUUGAACCUCCUUCGUGAUGGGGAUUGUGGAUUGGAAUUAUUUCACAUGAACGAGGAAUUCCUAGUAUGUGCGAGUCAUCAGCUUGCAUAGAUUAUGUCCCUGCCCUUUGUACACACCGCCCGUCGCUACUACCGAUCGAGUGAUUCAGUGAGGUGUUUGGACUGACCUUCGGUUUGGUUUUCGGAUCGAAUCGUAGUGUUGGAAAGAUCCCCGAACUUGAUUACUUAGAGGAAGUAAAAGU
Molecule: ribosomal RNA, 1742 nt
Filed under: Oncopodura crassicornis
Lineage: Eukaryota; Metazoa; Arthropoda; Collembola; Entomobryomorpha; Oncopoduridae
Description: SSU rRNA
Rfam family: Eukaryotic small subunit ribosomal RNA
Source: RNAcentral